AAACAUUUCCUGAGUGAAACGUAGGCUUUGGUUUACCAUUUCAGUGUGGCUUCAACGUUUCUUCAUGCUAAGAAUCAGGAACAUAUGUAGACAACACUCUAGAGAUGAACUCUGCUCCAGGCUUGGUGACCGUGGUGCUCUUAAUGCUUGGACAAAUCUAUGGAGACUCGGUGACUCAGAUGGAAGGCCAAAUGACUCUCUCAGAAGGGGCUUCUCUGAAAAUGAACUGCACUUAUUCAACCACAACCUAUGUCGCUCUUUUCUGGUAUGUGCAAUAUCCCAGAGAAGGUCCACAGCUCCUCCUCAGAGCCACGACAGCCAACGAGAAGGGACGCAACAAAGGUUUUGAAGCCACAUACAAUACAGAAACAACCUCCUUCCACUUGGAGAAAGCCUCAGUCCUAGAGUCAGACUCAGCUAUGUACUACUGUGCUAUGAGUGACACAGUGACAGGAACUGCAGGGGGAGCUGAGCACAAACUCUGAGCAGUAAUACGGGGC
This is a non-coding RNA of Equus caballus (horse), 500 nucleotides long. The record is from the annotation of a RefSeq genome assembly. NCBI's taxonomy places the organism in Eukaryota, Metazoa, Chordata, Mammalia, Perissodactyla, Equidae.